Molecule: ribosomal RNA, 371 nt
Filed under: uncultured microorganism
Description: bacterial SSU rRNA
Rfam family: Archaeal small subunit ribosomal RNA
Source: RNAcentral
GUGCAGCAGUCGCGAAAACUUUACAAUGUGCGAAAGCACGAUAAGGGAACUCUGAGUGCCUCCUAAGGAGGCUGUUCAGGUGUCUAAAAGCACCUGGAGUAAGGGCUGGGUAAGACCGGUGCCAGCCGCCGCGGUAACACCGGCAGCCCAGGUGGUAGCCACUUUUAUUGGGUCUAAAGCGUCCGUAGCCGGUUGAGUAAGUUCCUUGGGAAAUUUGGCUGCUCAACAGUCAAGCUUCCAGGGAAUACUGCUCGACUUGGGGACUGGGAGAGGUCAGAGGUACUCCAGGGGUAGGGUGAAAUCCAUUAAUCCCUGGGGGACCACCGGUAGCGAAGGCGUCUGACCAGACCAGGUCCGACGGUGAGGGACGA